RNAcentral lists this ribosomal RNA (420 nucleotides) under uncultured archaeon. RNAcentral describes it as "partial 16S ribosomal RNA". It matches the Rfam family "Archaeal small subunit ribosomal RNA", at positions 323 to 746 of the family's 1478-position model. The record is from RNAcentral.
CUACGGGUUGCUGCAGCUGAGGAAAUUUUACAAUGCUCGAAAGAGUGAUAGAAUAAACCAGAGUGUUGUUCUUAGAACAACUUUUAUCUGAUGUAAAAAGUCAGAUGAAUAAGGACUGGGCAAGACCGGUGCCAGCCGCCGCGGUAAUACCGGCGGUCCAAGUUGCAUCCAUUUUUAUUGGGUCUAAAACAUUCGUAGCUUGUUUUGUAAGUUUCUUGUGAAAUCUCAAGUCUCAAGCUUGGGGCGUGCAAGAAAUACUACAUUACUAGAGACCGGAAGACGUAAGGAGUAUGAUUAAGGUAGCGGUAAAAUGUGUUAAUCUUAAUCAGACUAACAAUGGCGAAGGCACCUUACGAGUACGGAUCUGACAGUGAGGGAUGAAGGCCAGGGGCGCAAAACGGAUUAGAUACCCCCGUAGUC